Molecule: small RNA, 85 nt
Filed under: Streptomyces prunicolor NBRC 13075
Lineage: Bacteria; Bacillati; Actinomycetota; Actinomycetes; Kitasatosporales; Streptomycetaceae
Description: nrdJ RNA
Rfam family: nrdJ RNA
Source: Rfam by way of RNAcentral
ACUUGUUGCGGGGCCAUGAGCUGUGGGCGCCCGCGGCAUCAGACAAACACUCUGCCACGGGAACAUCGUGGCAUUUUCGGGCGUU